UAUCGGGCGAGGAGAAACUAAACACAUAUAUGUAAUAUAUGUAGAAUGCAUAUGAAGAACUUCACCAGAAAUGUGCGUCAUAUCUGAAUACUAAAAGAGAAUAGGCCGAUGAAGAGGAUAUCAAUCAAUUGAUCCGACGAGUCGAGAUCUAUCAGAUUUCACUCAUACCCGUAAUCGGAGGGCAGGAUGUUGGGGGAAAUGCUAGGAGUCCAGCAGCAGAUUAAAGAGACUGGAACAUACUGGAAUAUGAAAUUCACUUUUCUAUCUCAGCUGUGUCAUUUCAUAAACGAUUGGAAUUGCAUUGUACAUCCCAACGGGCAAAUCUGUGAAUCUCUAUUUAAGUCCAACCGGAGUUGAAGUGUGAUGGAAUGUAAAAAUGAGAGUAAUGAGGAGGGGGAGCAUUUGAACGAUUGAUCUAAACAGGCUGGUGACGGGAGGGAGCUCCUCUUAAGAUAAAGAGAAAAAAAAAAAAAAUCCGACCCAAAGUCCUCCACUGUGCUAUCGAAUGUGUCACCCUCUGUUGGAGCGCCAGCGAGGGUUUAUCUCCACAGCUUGGUAAGGAGGCUUCUUUACUCCCAUCUAACACCAUCCACACUCUCCUCACCCCCCUCCCCCUUCUACCUCCUCACACCCGCCCCACUAGUCCUCCAGCGCACCACCAUCCCGACAUCUCCCUCUACCUCCUACCACAUCGCUCCAUGGGUGACUGUCCGGUAAGGCGUAGUCGAGGCCGGCAGGGCACGUUGCACAAACGCUGCGAUCCGUAGUUUGGAUCAGCGCAUGAAGGAAUACCUUUGCACACAUAAAAACAUACACAUAUCGUGAUCAGCGGGGUUUGACUGGAUUUCUGUUUGAUGUUUUGUAGACCGCGGGGAGAUGGCGGCUAUGGUAGAUUUAGCGUGCUUUUGUUCCACUGUAGAACUGCACUGUGCUGGAAGCAGUUUGUUUGGUGCGUGCUGGACUUGAUUUAUCACCAUGCAUAUACUGUACUUUUAAGGAUUACCUGCUUUUAUCAGUCUAUUUUCAUUGUAAAUUGAAUAUUAAUGGGUUUGGGUAUGCUCGGACAAAACAAGGAAAUUGCACUGUUCUGAGAAACUGUGAUAUUUCAACAUUUUCUGACAUUUAAUAGACCAGCUAAAUUUAGAUUUUGAGGAUUACGGCUAAAUCAAAGAUGAUUCCGUCAUUCCAACAUUGUGACCAUAGCAUGGAAGUCCGUCUGAUACCGCACAG
This is a long non-coding RNA of Gasterosteus aculeatus aculeatus (three-spined stickleback), 1230 nucleotides long. The record is from Ensembl. Lineage: Eukaryota; Metazoa; Chordata; Actinopteri; Perciformes; Gasterosteidae.